This is a long non-coding RNA of Hirundo rustica (Barn swallow), 1059 nucleotides long. RefSeq lists it as uncharacterized. Lineage: Eukaryota; Metazoa; Chordata; Aves; Passeriformes; Hirundinidae. The record is from RefSeq and is a predicted model, not a curated record. The transcript is spliced from 2 exons.
CGCGCCCGGCCCGGCCCGGCCCGGCCGCGUCCUGACGCCCUUCUGGUGUUGUGCCGGCGCCUCCGCACCUCCGUGCUCAAUACCAGCAACGAGGCAGCUGAGGGGGCCUUGCUGAACUCUUCCAGCAGCCCAUGAAUUCCGGCUUCGCGACAGCGCUGAGCAGUCACAGCCUCCGGUUCCGCAACCGCGGCGGUGCCCGGCCGGGGCCGCUCCGGGCACCAGCACACGGACUAUUAAAUCAAUGGAAUUCAUCGCCUCAGGAUGUAGCGAGGAGGGAGGCUUGUGAAGACUCACCAGGGAUUAGAUAUGUGUGCAGAUAGCAAGAAUAUCCAGAUCUGCAACCGGGAAACAUAUUUAAAGCACAAAAGUCCUGAUAAGACACAGAGGAAACAUCAGACUCAUCACUACUGGAGGAAAUGACAGGCAAUGCCCGAAGGCCCGAUCACUCCGUAAUUACCGGCCUCAGAGUCUCAUGUCUUCCCUUAAUUUAUCUAAGGCUGGUCACUGUCACCGACAGGAUACUGGGUUUAAGGUACGGCUUCCUAAAGCUACGCAGCUGCCCGUAAAAGCAGGUUUGCCUUUCCUGCACGCCCUUAGCCCGGUGUUCCUGCUGUGCCACAGCGGUGGUCCCAUGGGGGGAAGUGAGUCACAUCAGCCGCUUGCUGCCGGAGCAAACCCCCGAGACAUGGGGAUGAGAAAGGCGAGACCUUUCAGCAACAGCACAGCCUCACAUUAAACAUAUUUGAACUUGCACAUUUACACAUCAGUUCCCGUGGUCUCAGUAGUCAGAUACAGAUGUAACCUGGGACACCGUUAAUUAAAAGGGACCAUUAAAAGGGACUCCUUUCCCUCUUCCUUAUCCCCAUUUUGCUGGUCCCUCACGCACUCAUCUGCUGAGUGUGGCUGUUCCUAUCCCAAGCGACGACUGGGUCUGUUUUUGCCAAUAGAUGCUCUUCCUGGACCGGGUACGCCUUACAUAUUGAUAAAGUCACCUCAAAACCGGCCAAACAACUCACACUGAGAACUAAAACCAGUCAGUCAGUUUGGGAAGUGUUAAAU